UUCAUCAAGGGCGGUUGGCUAUUGACUUCUAUCUCGACUUUAAUGGACGAAUGAAUGUACCUACUCGUCCUGGUAGGUAAGAGUUCGUCCUUGUGUCGUGUAACUUAGGAGACCAAUUUUCGGCCAUGGUAGGCGCACUUUCAUUGACUUGUUACUAUCAAUAGACAACCUAUACCCACAAAUUGGAUCGAGCGAGGCCGAUAUCUAAGUCCAUGAAUCUAACAAGGUAAUGAUGCGUUCUUUUCUUAUAAAUAGACCAUUCUCACUCCAUUAUUAAAGUAGAAAAAAAAACUUUUUAGACAAAAUUGUUUCACACCACUUUUUUAAUCUCAGUUAUGUACUAUCGAAGAGUGUCGAACGAACACUUUGAAACCAAUGCACAGCUCUUUAUCUGGUACACGGUUUGGAUAAGUGACCCAAGCAACCUAAAUAGAAUUCACAGCUCAACCUAAUCAACCCUCUAUUUUCGAGUUGGGUUGGGUUGUCGGUUUAUUUUUUUAUAAUUAUUUAAAAAAUUCUACUUAUCGAUCAUAUAAGUUACAUUAAUAACUAAAAUAUCAAAUAUUUACCGGUCACAACCCAUCAUCAAAAUCAGAUUCAAAUGUCAAAUAUUCUUAAAAUUUAUAA
Molecule: long non-coding RNA, 627 nt
Organism: Cucurbita moschata (crookneck pumpkin)
Lineage: Eukaryota; Viridiplantae; Streptophyta; Magnoliopsida; Cucurbitales; Cucurbitaceae
Exons: 2
Source: RefSeq, a predicted model, not a curated record